Molecule: ribosomal RNA, 517 nt
Filed under: uncultured microorganism
Description: bacterial SSU rRNA
Rfam family: Bacterial small subunit ribosomal RNA
Source: RNAcentral
GAGUUUGAUCUUGGCUCAGGAUGAACGCUGGCGGCGUGCUUAACACAUGCAAGUCGAACGAAGCGCCUUAUUUGAUUUUCUUCGGAACUGAAGAUUUGGUGACUGAGUGGCGGACGGGUGAGUAACGCGUGGGUAACCUGCCCUGUACAGGGGGAUAACAAUCAGAAAUGACUGCUAAUACCGCAUAAGACCACAGCACCGCAUGGUGCAGGGGUAAAAACUCCGGUGGUACAGGAUGGACCCGCGUCUGAUUAGCUGGUUGGUGAGGUAACGGCUCACCAAGGCGACGAUCAGUAGCCGGCUUGAGAGAGUGAACGGCCACAUUGGGACUGAGACACGGCCCAAACUCCUACGGGAGGCAGCAGUGGGGAAUAUUGCACAAUGGGGGAAACCCUGAUGCAGCAACGCCGCGUGAGUGAAGAAGUAUUUCGGUAUGUAAAGCUCUAUCAGCAGGGAAGAAAGUGACGGUACCUGACUAAGAAGCCCCGGCUAACUACGUGCCAGCAGCCGCCGCCGU